AGAAUCAACGCUGGCGGCGUGCCUAACACAUGCAAGUCGAACGAGAAAGUGGAGCAAUCCAUGAGUAAAGUGGCGCACGGGUGAGUAACACGUGACUAACCUACCCUCGAGUGGGGAAUAACUUCGGGAAACCGAGGCUAAUACCGCAUAAAACCUAAGGGUCAAAGGAGCAAUCCGUUUGAGGAGGGGGUCGCGGCAGAUUAGUUAGUUGGCGGGGUAAUGGCCCACCAAGACGAUGAUCUGUAUCCGGCCUGAGAGGGCGCACGGACACACUGGAACUGAAACACGGUCCAGACUCCUACGGGAGGCAGCAGUGGGGAAUUUGCGCAAUGGGGGAAACCCUGACGCAGCAACGCCGCGUGGAGGAUGAAAUCCCUUGGGAUGUAAACUCCUUUCGAUCGGGAAGAUAAUGACGGUACCGGAAGAAGAAGCCCCGGCUAACUUCGCGCCAGCAGCGGC
Molecule: ribosomal RNA, 459 nt
Filed under: uncultured bacterium
Lineage: Bacteria
Description: SSU rRNA
Rfam family: Bacterial small subunit ribosomal RNA
Source: RNAcentral